GUAUUUAGCUUGUGUCCCGUCUGCCUCCCUCUGUCGGACAGUGACAGAAUGCGGGGUUUCAGACUGAAGACACAGAAAAACUUCUGCCCAUAAAAGGGGACCAGUCCAAAGGUGUGGACUUGGUCCUAAAGGCAGGGCAGGACAGA
Molecule: non-coding RNA, 146 nt
Organism: Amphiprion ocellaris (clown anemonefish)
Lineage: Eukaryota; Metazoa; Chordata; Actinopteri; Pomacentridae
Product: small Cajal body-specific RNA 11
Exons: 1
Source: RefSeq, a predicted model, not a curated record